GGUGAGAUGGCCGAGCGGUUAUGGCGCCAGGUUAAGGAUACCUUAACAAGUUCAAAUUCCUGGUGGAGCAAUCCUCGUGGGUUCGAAUCCCACUCUCAUCA
Molecule: non-coding RNA, 101 nt
Organism: Cladobotryum mycophilum
Lineage: Eukaryota; Fungi; Ascomycota; Sordariomycetes; Hypocreales; Hypocreaceae
Source: the annotation of a GenBank genome assembly